Molecule: long non-coding RNA, 1958 nt
Filed under: Zea mays
Lineage: Eukaryota; Viridiplantae; Streptophyta; Magnoliopsida; Poales; Poaceae
Description: long non-coding RNA (ZMAY_LNC002274)
Source: RNAcentral
CGCCCUUCCCCAUUUCCCCCACACCCUUGGCCGCAGCCCCCCCUCCCAUUUCCUCCUCCCUCAAACCAUUGCAGCCACACCACCCUAAACCCUAGCCGCCCCCCCCUCUCUCCAAGGUGAAGCCCUCCCACCUGGUUCUCCGUCGUGUGGCGAUCUCAAUUGGAGUUUGGAGGGAUAAAGAAGGAAGGAGAAAGGUAAGAAUCCAAGGUGAUUUUUGUGUUUAUCUCUUGUUCAUUUGUGCUGCAAUCCAAUUGAUUAGAUGUUGCGUAUGCGAUUUGGUAGAAGGGCUGUCCAGAAUUUUAGGGGGUGGACGAACAGCAGCAGUAUUAGUGGUUUCUGGGCAUUUUCGUGGGAAAUUAAUGGGAAUCAGUUUAGGAAUCAUGUAGAACUUUGACAUACCUUUCCAACAAGUAUUUAUGCGCUCAAUUUGGAGUUAUAAAUUAAAAGAUAUCACCGUUUGAAUCCGGGUAUGUGGCUGUCAAAAAAAUAGAUUUUCAGGUGGACGAACAGAAGCAGUAUUAGUGGUUUCUGGGCAUUUUUCGUGGGAAAUUAAUGGGAAUCAGUUUGAGAAUCAUGUAAAACUUUGGUAUACCUUUCCAACGAGUAUUUAUGCGCUCAAUUUGGAGUUAUAAAUUAAAAGAUAUCACCGUUUGAAUCCGGGUAUGUGGCUGUCCAAAAAAACAGAUUUUCAGGUGGACGAACAGCAGCAGUAUUAGCAGUUUCUGGGGAUUUUCCGUUAGUAAUUAGUGUUAAUCAGUAUGAUAAUCAUGUAGGGCUUUUUCUUACAUUUCCAACAAGUACUUAUGCGCUCAAUUCGGAAUUAUAUUUUAAAAGUUAUCGCUGUUUGAAUCCGAGUAUGUUGCUGCCCAAAAGAGAAAAAAAAACAGAUUGCAGGGUUUAUCUUGUGGACCGUUUUGGGGUAGUUAGAUGUUGGAAUUUAAUCAUAAAUUGUAUACAAAACUUAUGGGGAAUUUUAUGUAGUUGUCUCUGGAGUUUUUGUUUGUCAUCACUGCUGGCUUAAUUUUAAAGUUAUGGAAUUGUUAAGCAGCGCCGCUGCAGUUUGGUGAGUGUGGGGAGAAUUGUUACCGGCGGCGGGGUUUGAGACUGCGCGUAGGUGCGGCGUUGUUUUUGAGGCUUAUUAUGUGAAUUUGGUGCACUAAGUUGGGUGUCAAAAACAGGUGAUGGACUUCCGGAUCGUACUUAGGGAUUUUCCCAAACUUCCGGUAAAGGCAAGUAAAACAGUGAUGGUUAUUCCGUCUGUCGAAUGAAGAGUCUUAUACUUGAUUAUGUUGUGCUAUUGUGUUCGUAUUCAUAUUUUUAAUUGAGUACCAUCAUUUGAAGAUAUUCGUGUUUUAUUGAUUACAUAUGUUGAGUUUGUGGUUUGAUCAUGUUACUCAAGUGGUUAUUAUGUGGAAUGAGUGGAAAUAUAUGUCUAGCACAUUUUAUUUGGGAAGAACUCAUGUUGUUGUCAUGCAUAAUGCAUUCAUUAUUCAUUGCAUGGAAGUUCGUCAUGAUCUUAUUGUCCGACCGUACCGGUAUAUUGAGCAUCAUAUGUUGCCCGAGAAGGGGUAUGAUGCAGCUUCAUAUCCUCAGAGAUAUGAAGGCAGAAGUCAUUACUGCAUUUGUAGUCAUGUGCAUUCAUGGAGAGGUGUGAAAUUUAUUAUGUGGAUGUGGAUAGUGUGGAUUUUUACAUUGUGAUUCUUCUUGGCGUUAAGUAAUUAGUUACUUGCUUACUUGCUGCAAAUUAUUAUUCAAGAAGGAAGUUUUGAACUACGUGGUUGUUUAAGCACAAUUGGUUUACAUUGUCCAAUUGUGGUUUGCUCUGUUUACUUGCUGAGAUGUGUCAUCUCACUCUUGCAUUGUUUAAUGCAGGCACCUGAUUUCUGCUUUGGGAAAAGAGGGAUGUAGCAGCACGGCCACUACACCUUUAAUAAAGGAACCACUGCUUAAUAAUGUUG